Molecule: ribosomal RNA, 497 nt
Filed under: uncultured bacterium
Lineage: Bacteria
Description: partial 16S ribosomal RNA
Rfam family: Bacterial small subunit ribosomal RNA
Source: RNAcentral
GAUGAACGCUGGCGGCGUGCCUAAUACAUGCAAGUCGAGCGAACAGACGAGGAGCUUGCUCCUCUGACGUUAGCGGCGGACGGGUGAGUAACACGUGGAUAACCUACCUAUAAGACUGGUAUAACUUCGGGAAACCGGAGCUAAUACCGGAUAAUAUAUUGAACCGCAUGGUUCAAUAGUGAAAUACGGUUUUGCUGUCACUUAUAGAUGGAUCCGCGCCGCAUUAGCUAGUUGGUAAGGUAACGGCUUACCAAGGCAACGAUGCGUAGCCGACCUGAGAGAGUGAUCGGCCACACUGGAACUGAGACACGGUCCAGACUCCUACGGGAGGCAGCAGUAGGGAAUCUUCCGCAAUGGGCGAAAGCUUGACGGAGCAACGCCGCGUGUGUGAUGAAGGUCUUCGGAUCGUAAAACUCUGUUAUUAGGGAAGAACAAAUGUGUAAGUAACUAUGCACGUCUUGACGGUACCUAAUCAGAAAGCCACGGCUAACUACGUG